UCCGCUCAUCACAGCCUCUGGAGCACCAUCUCAAGAACAGCCACCGCGUCACUGGCCUUGCCACCGCUAGAAAAAUCAAAGAACGAAGCUGUCGCCUCUCCCCGGUUGCUGUCGAUGUCAAUCAUCAACUCCUCGUCCUAACUGAUCUGACCCAGUUAACCAAGCAAUACUUAAUUUCUACAAGAAGAUCUGGCGUCAGCCAUGAAGCCGUGGAGCAUCUUCUGCUGGUUUCCAUAUACAUAUGAAAGCUUUUGUUUGUUGAGCAUAUCAGGCUGGUGGAGUUUGAAUCACUGGAGAAGACAACAGUAUCAUUUUUCAAUUUCUUCAAGCUUUUAACAUAUAAUCCACUUGCAAGUAGUGCUAUGAGCAAAGCAAAUCCUAUAAGAGGCCCUGCAAUAGUUUGAAAGUUUUUGUUGGUUUUGUAAACCAAGAAUGUUUUUUGCAUGAACGGUUUGUCGAAAAGGGAGUGGAACGACAUGUAUGGUUAUUAGACCAUCAAUUUAGGUGGCUUAAUAUUUUAUGACAGUAGUCUCUCUGUAGAUCACAAUUCUUACAAUUGUAAAUUUAAGUCUUCCUUGCUUCUUUGUUGGUGAUUUCAGCAUGAAAUUUUUUUGUUAUCUAAUCAUUAUAUACUUAAAAAAAAUACUGAAACAUAUACUCAAACUAAUUUAUACAAUU
Long non-coding RNA from Arachis duranensis, 678 nucleotides. RefSeq lists it as uncharacterized. NCBI's taxonomy places the organism in Eukaryota, Viridiplantae, Streptophyta, Magnoliopsida, Fabales, Fabaceae. The record is from RefSeq and is a predicted model, not a curated record. The transcript has 3 exons.